CAACACAGGAGAACCAGCCUAGCCUGGCAUUUGCAUCACUCCUUGUAUGUAAUAUAGUCACACUGACACACUGUAAUUGUAUGGAAUGGCAUUCAAAUCAAAGGACGUUACAUACAAGAUUUAGAACAGCUAUGCUAGGAAGAUUUGUUUAGUAUUCAAAAGAGGAACAUAAGACAUGGAGUAGAUGUCACUAUUUAUCAUAAGUACAUAGUUUGCUGUAACCAAGGAGAAAAAGGUAUUCGUUCAUCACAAGACACAUUAAAAGAAAAUGCUAGUAAUACACGGAUUUAUUGUGAUGCUCUUAGUGGAUUUUGGAGAAUACAAAAGAUUGUAUCACAAACAUAAUCUUGCUAGUGAAACUAAGGUACCCAACUUAUAAUGGUAUAAUGACUUCAUUUGCACGGACGUAUUUUAUACAGCCAUGCGCACAGUCACUCACGCGCCGCAGCUCCUCGCUCCCAACGUGCUCACCCUCUCCCCUUGCGCUGCGGCUUCUCCCUCCAUCCGCUCCGGUGGCGGCGGCAGCUGUUUCCAGCGGUGGCUCAUCCCUACCCGCCCGAUGUGGCUCCUCCAUGAUAGCUUGACACGCACAUGGCUUCUGCUUCUCUCCACUCCAGCUGUUGGAAUGGGUUCCGGGCGCAACAGCUCUGCACCAUCUGUCUGCUCAAAACCUACAUUUCUUUUUUCACGAGCACUGAUGGAGCAACUCCAUCACGGCAAUGUAGUGCGAUGAGCAAUGUAGUAGAGGAAAUGGUUGGAAGAGCUCCCUGUGCUGGCAAGUGGCUCUGUCUGAAGUUGGCAAGCAACUCGCUGAGCUUGCGUCAGAGAGAUGAGCGAGGUGGAUGGUGGAGCGGACACGUAGUUCACACUCAUUGCUUCUGUCACUCAAAGCCACGCAGCUCAGCACCUUGCAUUUGUCACUCCGAGUCCUC
RNAcentral lists this long non-coding RNA (932 nucleotides) under Sorghum bicolor (sorghum). RNAcentral describes it as "long non-coding RNA (SBIC_LNC002242)". The record is from RNAcentral. Lineage: Eukaryota; Viridiplantae; Streptophyta; Magnoliopsida; Poales; Poaceae.